AAUCUCCUCCUAAAUAUGAAAAUUGACAGCCUGUUUUCUAGGUUGAUUUGUAAUGUGCCAGUGAAAUCCUUCCCUGACCCAGAACUGUGUGGUUGAUGUUCUAUGGGAAAGUGCUUGGGCCUUCGGUGGUGCUUUCCGGGUACUGGUCAUCACCAUCUCCCCUUUCCUGUGUUUUCUAGAAUGCCAUAGCAAACGCGUCAACACUGGCUGAAGUUGAGAGGCUGAAGGGCUUGCUGCAGUCUGGCCAGAUUCCUGGCAGAGAGCGCAGAUCAGGGCCGAGUGAUGAGGGUGAAGAGGAGAUGGAAGACGGCACAGUCACAAAUGGGUCCUGAGCUCUGGCAGGUGCUCUGAUAAGCUCGUGGGAUGUCUUGCAUUUGAGCAUUGAGUAACAGCCUUGCUUGUGUCAGCAACGUGGAAUCUGCAGCUUUGCUGAAUGAUCAGAACUACUGCUGAUAAUUUUUUAAUAGAAACCUUGAAAUGGCAAUGCCAAUUUUCUACAAAUGGUAAAUAAAGGCAACCUACUGUGCUGCCA
Molecule: long non-coding RNA, 532 nt
Filed under: Rattus norvegicus (Norway rat)
Lineage: Eukaryota; Metazoa; Chordata; Mammalia; Rodentia; Muridae
Description: long non-coding RNA NONRATT000782
Source: RNAcentral